This 465-nucleotide ribosomal RNA is filed under the name Scolopendra cf. morsitans JJ-2011. RNAcentral's name for it is "partial 16S ribosomal RNA". It matches the Rfam family "Bacterial large subunit ribosomal RNA", at positions 1853 to 2607 of the family's 2925-position model. Lineage: Eukaryota; Metazoa; Arthropoda; Chilopoda; Scolopendromorpha; Scolopendridae. The record is from RNAcentral.
UCUGGCCUGCUCAAUGUUGGUAAUAAAUGGCCGCAGUAUUUUGACUGUGCGAAGGUAGCGUAAUAAUUAGGCUAUUAAUUGUAGUCUUGAAUGAAUGGUUGGACAUAAGAUCUUCUGUUUUUUUUAUAUAAAUGAAUUUUAAUAGUUAGUAAGAAUGCUGAUAUGAAGCAUAAAGACGAGAAGACCCUAUUGAGUUUAAUAUGGUUAUUUUAAGUAUGAUAGUGUAGAUUAAGGUAAAUAUAUUUAGUUGGGGCGACUUUAUUAUAAAACAUUAAAUUAAUAAGGAGUUGUUGAUCCGUUAUUAACGAUUAAUAGAAUAAAUUACCAUAGGGAUAACAGCAUAAUUUUAUUGGAAAGUUCAUAUUGAUAAUAAAGUUUGUGACCUCGAUGUUGAAUCAAGAUACCUAGUAGGCGCAGGAGCUUAUAAAGGUGGACUGUUCGUCCAUUAAAUUCUUACGUGAUCUG